RNAcentral lists this long non-coding RNA (1109 nucleotides) under Zonotrichia albicollis (white-throated sparrow). RNAcentral describes it as "lncRNA (ENSZALG00000007963.1)". The record is from RNAcentral. Lineage: Eukaryota; Metazoa; Chordata; Aves; Passeriformes; Passerellidae.
CACCUCCCUCCUUUUUCCUAGCUUGUAUUGCUGAGCAGAAAUAUGGCAUGGAAUAUCCCUUUGGCCAGUUUGGAUCAGCUGUCCUGACUAUGUUCCCUCCCAGCCUCUUGCCUACUCCCAGGUUACAUGCUUGGGAGCCAGUGUGGUUGGAUUGUCAUCUUGGUGCUGUGGGAUCACUGCCCAGGAGUAGCCAAAAUGUUGGUGUGCUAUUUUCUUCAGGAUGAGACGAACCUUGGUCUGAGACUGCCUGAUGUGGACUGCAACAAAGAAGAUUCUGAAAGUGAAUUUAGAAGACCUUUGAAAGAAUACUGGGAAACUUUGGAGAGUCCUUUGAAGAACUCCAUCCUAUUAUUUUGCACAGUAGCCCACAUAAAAGAGGCCUGUGUAGUACAUACUAAGAGUCAGCUCUCCUAAAUGUCUCCUUACGAAAACAGUAGAUUUCAGUCUUUCUGCUUCAGACUGACCUUCCCCACAUUCACUUUUUGAGGCUACUUGUACAAAAGUUACACUUGAGGACACACAUUUCUGAAUUGUCCUUGAGGAGGAGCUCAGGACUCACCUCUCAGGCUCCAGCUGCACUCGAAAGCCCUGCAUUCCAUGGCCUAUCCAUUCCAGCUUACCUUUGUUUUACAUGUCUUAUUUAGACCUUGGCAGAAGGCUCUGACACCCUGGCAAUGAACUGACAGGGAACACCCAGCCCAGGGCACUUGGGUACUUAUUUUAUGGUACUGGCUGAUGUCUGUGGUUCUGCAGAACGGUAUUGGAGCUUCUCUUCACUGCCACAUUGAGCUGCUCAGUGCAAAUUAAAACAAUUGCUACUAUAGUCCACUUAAUUUUUCCUUAAAUUACUUUGAAGUUAAUCUAGUUUCAUGGACUUUCACUGACUUGUUAAAUUCCACCUGCAAAGAUAGAAAGUUCCCUAAAAAAAAUCUUUAUGAAGUGAAAAUUUGACACGAUGAAACAGCUCAGACAAUGUUAAGAAAUAGAACAGGACACAUGAAAAUUUGGUACUUCUGUAUAUUAAUUUCUCCAUUAUGUCAGUCUGCUGAAAACAACUCAGUAAUAACAGUCUUGUGGGUAUAGUAAUAAAACUUACUCUGCUUAGUGCA